Molecule: long non-coding RNA, 656 nt
Filed under: Musa acuminata (dwarf banana)
Lineage: Eukaryota; Viridiplantae; Streptophyta; Magnoliopsida; Zingiberales; Musaceae
Description: long non-coding RNA (MACU_LNC006039)
Source: RNAcentral
AGCUCCCACAGAUGCUUCAGCAGCUCCUGCUCCAACUCAAAAAACUGAUGCUGUAACCUCAACUGAACCUCUCCCAGCAGUCAACUCAGUUCCCAAAGCUGAAGUCAAGGAAGAGUCACCUCCUGUGACACCGAGACCUCUUUCACCUUACCCAUAUGUAACUCUCGAUCCUUUCACAUGCCUUGCUCUUUUAUUCUUUGUUUCUUCCAUUAUUCAUCAUGACUGCUCUUUCCACAUCGUUUCUUAGGAACCAUAUUAUCAAGAAACUAAAAUUGACAUGUAGACCAUAAUUGCUCAGAAGAUGUAAAGUUAAUUCUUGGAAUGAAAGAAAGAGUACAUCUCACACCGAACAUCUUUGAGAUUAAUAUAUCAUCAUAACCGAGAAAUUAUAUCGAACUAUGUUAUCUAUGUUCAAGCAUAUACUUUAUAGGAUAGGACUCAGCAAAUGUAAUGACAUGAUUUCAGCUUUCUCAAUAAAAAACUUAUGCUGUAUGCAUCUGAAUUAUGCACAGUAUCCGGAUCUCAAACCUCCAUCUUCACCUUCUCCGUCACAGCCGUAGAGGAUCUGCUUCGUUAUGUUGGUUUCAUGGGAUCACUCUUCUCAAAUGCAUGGUCGGAUGACAGAGCGUUCAGUAGGAAAAGAUGUUUGGAAGGCC